CAAAAUGUAGCUUACAUAAAGCAUCUGGCUUACACCUAGAAGAUUUCAACUUAAUUGAACAUUUUGA
RNAcentral lists this transfer RNA (67 nucleotides) under Pseudoromicia brunnea (Dark-brown pipistrelle). Its description in RNAcentral is "tRNA-Val". It matches the Rfam family "tRNA". From Rfam's summary of the family: Transfer RNA (tRNA) molecules are approximately 80 nucleotides in length. Their secondary structure includes four short double-helical elements and three loops (D, anti-codon, and T loops). Further hydrogen bonds mediate the characteristic L-shaped molecular structure. tRNAs have two regions of fundamental functional importance: the anti-codon, which is responsible for specific mRNA codon recognition, and the 3' end, to which the tRNAs corresponding amino acid is attached (by aminoacyl-tRNA synthetases). tRNAs cope with the degeneracy of the genetic code in two manners: having more than one tRNA (with a specific anti-codon) for a particular amino acid; and 'wobble' base-pairing, i.e. permitting non-standard base-pairing at the 3rd anti-codon position. Lineage: Eukaryota; Metazoa; Chordata; Mammalia; Chiroptera; Vespertilionidae. The record is from RNAcentral.